This 10601-nucleotide long non-coding RNA is filed under the name Homo sapiens (human). RNAcentral describes it as "PREDICTED lncRNA (TCONS_00085178)". The record is from RNAcentral. Lineage: Eukaryota; Metazoa; Chordata; Mammalia; Primates; Hominidae.
CAACAUGGUGAAACCCCCAUCUCUAGUAAAAAUACAAAAUUAGCUGGGCAAGGUGGUGCCUGCCUGUAAUCCCAGCUACUGGGGAGGCUGAGGCAGGAGAAUCAUUUGAACUCAGGAGGCAGAGGUUGAAGUGAGCCGAGAUCAUGCCAUUGCACUCCAGCCUGGGCAACAAGAGUGAAACUCUGUCUCAAAAAAAACAAAUUUGCCAUUAUAACAUGCAAUUAAGACUACUAGAAACAGUUUUACAUGCAAGGUGUAUAAGAACAGUAGAAAGUGUUGGGGGUUUUUUUGUGUGUGUGGAAGGUUACAAAAGGUUUUUGCUUCUUUAAAAUUUCUGAGUCAUCAUUUUGGCAAAAUAAAUAGUUUACGGUAAUCUGGAAUUCCAAAAUCAAACUUCAGUUUCAAAAUUGUCUUUCCUAAUGCCUGGCUUUCUAGAUGAAUCAGAGGGCCCCUGAAAACAUCCAGAAAAGAGGUAAACAGGAUUAUUUGACAUGUUUAGGUACAUGGGAUUGACAAAAUGAUGUUAAAUCUUCUUUAGGUUAUAUUUUUGUGAAUAAUAUAUUCCAAAAUUGUAUGGGAUUUCUCAAAUUCUAAUGUCUAAGUAUAUGUUACCAAUCACAAUUAUAAUUAUGUUAAGUUAUUGUAAACCACAAAAAUGACCAAAUUUUCUUGUAUAAAGCUACUAACCCACGUAAAACAACAACAACAAAAAAUUAAUUACAUAUCAAGAAAAGACUUUCAUGUUAAACCAGCUAAUACUGAAAUUGUUUAAAAUAGUUUAUAACCUGUCGCUUUGCAGAUGCCGUCACUGCCACCAGGAGCCCUGUACUAUCAGCCAUGGUCAACCCCACCGUGUUCUUUGACAUCGCAGUCACGGCGAGCCCUUGGGUCACGUCUCCUUUGAGCUGUUUGCAGACAAGAUUCCAAAAACAGCAGAAAACUUUCAUGCUCUGAGCACUGGAGAGGAAGGAUUUGGUUAUAAGGGUUCCUGCUUUCACAUAAUUAUUCCAGGAUUUAUGUGUCAGGGUGGUGACUUCAUAUGCCAUAAUGGCACUGGUGGCAAGUCCAUCUAUGGGGAGAAAUUUGAUGAUGAGAACUUCAUCCUAAGGCAUACACGUCCUGGCAUCUUGUCCAUGGCAAAUGCUGGAUCCAAUACAAACGGUUCCCAGUUUUUCAUCUGCACUGACAAGACUGAGUGGUGGAUGGCAAGCAUGUGGUCUUUGGCAAGGUGAAAGAAGGCAUGAAUAUUGUGGAGGCCACGGAGCGCUUUGGGUCCAGGAAUGGCAAGACCAGGAAGAAGAUCACCAUUGCUGACUGUGGACAACUCUAAUAAGUUUGACUUGUGUUUUAUCUUAACCACCAGACCAUUCCUUCUGUAGCUCAGGACAGCACCCUCCACCCCAUUUGCUCGCAGUAUCCUAGAAUCUUUGUGCUCUCGCUGCAGUUCCCUUCCAUGCCUAGCUGGACUGCAGAGUUGAGUUAAAGUUUAUGAUUAUGAAAUAAAAACUAAAUAACAACAAAAAAUUGUUUAUAACCAAUGCUUGAUCCCAUAUUCCUAGGAAAACAAUUAAAGCUUCAGGUAUAUUUGGUCUUCUGGUCAGCCAUUUAAACAUUUUAUAAAGGGAUUUCAUUCCAUUGUUAUUUUCCAUGCAUGUUUUCUGGUUGUAGAAAAGCUUUCCCAUGCAAGAGGGCUGAUGUUAUAACAGUAGAUUAUUAUGCUACAGUGUAUUUUCACCAGAUUAAAAAAAAAAGCUUUUUAUGGUUUGAAUCUGCUGGAAACAUCAGAGAAAGACUGUCCUUGCCAUCUACACUAUAACAAAACUUCAGGACCUUGAACUUUGGGUUCAUAAUCUCACAACUGAGAAGGGCCCCUCCAUGCUCUUGGAGCUGUGCACCCACUGGAAUGCUUAAGGUAAAACUAACUAGGGAAAUUUCUCCCAAGAAGAAGAUGACAUCAUUGAUGUGAACAGCUUUUCCCAAGUUCACAGAUUAAGACUUCUACUAUCAUGAAACUCUUAUUUUUGAAUAUUUUUUCUUGCUUAUGCCUUCUACGAACAAUAGAAGUGGAAAAGGGGUCUGUUAUGUGCACUUAUGGGGAACAUUUUUAUUUGUGAAGGAGUUUGCAGCCAGCCUUAUACAUGGAUAAAGGCCCAAUGUAUGUAAGAAACUUUAAUGGUAGAUGUGUUAGCUCAUAAUCAAUCAAAAACAAAAAAUUGAUUCACUCCACAUAACCCACAUCGUGGGUUAAAGAGAACAUUGCCAGAAGUCCUUCACUCUUCUGAAAGGGCAUCAUUUGUUAGGUCCUUUUUCCAUGGUUUAAAGUAAAAGAAGCAAUGAUUAGAAAUGUAUCCCUCAUGAUAGGUUCCAUAGCAAAUUCUACUCUAAAGGCUACAGACUCUAAAUUCUCUUGUGAAAGUUAUAAUAGAAUUGGCUAAACAGCGAAGUAUCUGUGCAGCUGCUGGCACUUGUGGCCUAUACAGAAAUACAUCAAAUGAAGACUAUAGAAAUUCAGUGGUAGGAGACUGACAAAGAAAUUGAUUAGUCAAGUCUCUCUCUGUUGCCCAGGCUGAAGUGCAGUGGCGUGAUCUUGGCUCACUGCAACCUCCGACUCCCAGGUUCAAGCAAUCCUCCUGCCUUGGCCUCCCAAGUAGCUGGGAUUACAGGUGCACGUGACCACACCCAGCCAAUUUUUGUAUUUUAGUAGAGAUGGGGUUUCACCACGUUGGCCAGGCUCAUCUUGAACUCCUGACCUCAAGUGAGCCACCUCACCCAGCCGUGAGUAAACUGUAUCUAGCUCAUUCUUAGAUCCAUUUGAUUUUAGGAGGUUUGGUUUAUGGGGACCUUGGGUAAGGAGUAUACUCCCAAAUUCUUGGUAUUAUCCUCCUAAUAGCCAUAAUAAUGGUCUCCCUGACGAGCUGUAUGCUCUCAAAGGUUUUAAAUGCUUGCAUGAGCCAUCUCUAGAAUGUCAUAUGGUCUCUCUUCAACUGGAAUAACAGGAGCUCAAAGAAAUAUGCAACCAUGAGGACACCAUAACCUAUAAAUGACAUGCUGAGACCAGAAACCCAAAAUGAUGGUAACUGAGAGUGGCACUGAGGCCCUAGGUUUUGGUCACACUCUCACCUAAGUGAAAACCUGAUCAAAAAGGGAAUUUUUUUCAACAAAAUUCUGGGAGGCCGUUGUUUUGGACUGAUCUCAUGCACUAGGCCCCAACAAACCAAACAAAACCAAAAUGGGGCCACUCAUGCCAAGACUUUAAGGAAACACAUAGAUUCUAGAAAAGACUAGGUUUUGUUUUUUCUUCUGCAAAUCACUACAACAAACAUUUCUGACAGUAUAGGUAUCCACCCCCUAAAGUUUCCAUUAAAUCUUUUAACCAAAUUCAUUUCCUCUCACCUAGAGACCAUCAAGCUUCAGAUGAUCAUGUAACAAAGGUUCCAGCCAGUUCCAAGUGAAGACACCACCCCUGGACAUCAAGAAGCUACCCUUCCUCCACUAGAUAGAGCAGGGUGAGAGUUCCAUGAUCCCCAAUAGGUAGGGACUAUGCCCCAAGCCAGCAUGAAGCAGUUACAGAAAAAAGACCAUCGGUCCCUCUGCCUCCCAUAAAGAUUUAUGGGGAUCACAUCUCUUGAAGGGGCAGAUGAGGCAGGAAAAUAGGGUCUGAAGUGUGAAGAUCGAUUCACACUUCAGCUAUAACAGGAAAUAUCCUCUCCAUAGGGUGUAUGACUAUGUAACUUGAAUACUUCAUCCUCUCCAUUUACAUAAGGUGUAUCUGAAGUAACCAAUGGAAUCCUCUGGGGGUAAAUGCCCCACAAUUCUGUAACGGGACCUUUGAGCCCCUACGCUCCGCCUGCUCCCACACUGUGGUGUGUAUGUUCAUUUUCAAUAAAUCCCUUCAUUCCUUCCUUACUUUGUCUGUGCAUUUUGUCCAAUUCUUUGUUCAAGACGCCAAGAACCUGGACACCCUCCACCGGUAACAAAGGGGCUUAAUAAAAUAAGGAGUUGCUACUGAGGGUCUAGGAAGUGGUGAAAAGGGAAGAGAGGAGGAAGCAAGGAUAACUAGAGAUCUAUGUGAAGUGAGCACGGGACAGAAGCACUAAUAGGCCUAGGAGAGAGGGGGAGGAAGGAGAGACCCAGCGGGGCGCAACCUCCCAAGCCCAGCACUCAACCUUGAAUAGGGUGGGGUGCGGGGUGGGGGGAGCUCCCUGCCACCAACCAGCUAUCAAAAGGGGCAGUUUGGACUUUAAAGGAGUUGUGAGAGAGGGAGGGAGCAGCUGAAGCCCCAACACAAACUAGCCUGCCUUCUCACCCACCCCCAGCCCAGUCAUCAAGCCGGCCAACACAUCUUACCCUUCCCUCUUCGUGACUGACCCAUUGGAAUGCUCUGAGUUGUAAAGACCUUUCACUUAAAGGAAAACGUACUGUCCCUCCUGGUCUCCCCUCCCAGCCCCCAACCACCCCUGCGCCACCUCCGUUCCCUCUCAACCGGACUCUUAGCAAAGAACCCAGGUGUGGCUGAAAGGCUGCCCACCGUGGGAACAGCUUUAGCAGUUUUCCCAGGAAAAAGCCACAAGCCCUGGAGGCACAGAGGCCCAAAGACAAAAAAAAAAAAAAAAGGCCUUUCCUCCUAGCAGGAAGCAAGCCCGAUUCUUGGGAAAGGGAAGGGACAGACUCAGAGCCUCAGGGCCAAGGGGUGAGAUCCAGCACCCCAGCAGGACAGGAAUCUAGCUGGGUGACCUCUCUGAGCCUCAGUCUCCUCCUCUGACCAUGGGGACAACAAACUUCGCUUGCAAGGCCUGGAAGAAGAUCAGAAGUUGGACAGGAGAGGUCCGGCCGCGCGGACGUCACCUUAGCGCGCCACUGUCGGCUCCGGUGGGCUCGGGUGAGCUCGGGUGAACGCAGCGAGCGAGGGCAGAGGCCAGCAGAGGCGAGGAGUGGAUGCUGCAGGGCCGCAGGCCGGGCAGAGAAACGCAUACCGGGUCGCUCCCUGCUUCGCCGCCGCCUCCUGGCAGGGCCAGCGAAGCCAGUGCUCCAGCGCCCCCGUAACACCUCAAAGCGCACGGAGUCCGUGUUGGGGAACUUGGCGGCAGAGUGACUGGGACCUAGGACCUGCGGUGGGGCCGCCGCCGCCUCCGCGGGGCCGAGCGCCUGGACCUCGCCCUGAGGUAAACGCGGGUCGACCCGGGGGGCGGAUGGGCUCGGGCUGUGUCGAGGGGAGGCGGAGGUGAGCGACCCGCGAAGAGCGCAGGAGCAGGCCGGGGGCCACGCUAGGGCGGACCCAAUUUCGGAAUAGCGCGGCCCGGGCGGCGGCGUGCGCUGGGAGGAAUGCUGGGUCUGUCGCUAGCGCCAAACUUGACCACGCUGCGACCUUUUCACUCUGUGCUCUGACCUUCAAAUCUCCCUCCCCCGAUUUUUUUUUUUUUUUUUUUUUUGAGACAGAGUUUCGCUUUUGUUGCCCAGGGCGGGAGUGCAGUGACAUGAUCUCGGCUCACUGCAACCUCCACCUCCUGGGUUCGGGCGAGUGUCCUGCCUCAGCCUCCCGAGUAGCUGGGAUUAUAGACCCCCGCCACCAUGCCCGGCUAAUUUUUUUUAUUUUAUUUAUUUAUUUAUUUAUUUAUUUAUUUAUUUUUGUAGUAGAGACAGGGUUUCACCAUGUUGGCCGGGUUGAUCUCGAACUCCUGUCCUCAAGUGAUCCGCCUGCCUCAGCCUCCCAAAGUGCUGGGAUUACAAGCGUGAGCCACCGCACCCGGCCUUCUCCCAAUUUUUAAAACUCGCUGGCUGGGCUGACAGCUACAGGGCCAGGAAUUCAAAACUUAGCCUCACCAGUCUCCCCUCCUCAGACCGAGGAGGUUGUUUUGUUUUGUUUGAGACAGAAUCUCACUCUGUCGCCCAGGCUGGAUUGCAAUGGUGCGAUCUCGGCUCACUGCAACCUCUGCCUCUCCGGUUCAAGCCAUUCUCCUGCUUCAGCCUCCCGAGUAGCUGGGAUUACAGGCGCCUGCCACCACACCCAGCUAAUUUUUGUAUUUUUAGUAGAGACGGGGUUUCAUCAUGUUGGCCAGGAUGGUCUCGAACUCUUGAUCUCAAGUGAUCCGCCCACCUCGGCCUCCCAAAGUGCUGGGAUUAUGGGUGUGAGCCACCAUGCCUGGCCAGACCUGGGGUUUGGACCCAUUAAAGAGCUUCCUUACAGAUGGCUGGCGGUCUUGCCACCAAUUGUUUCAAAAGUAGAUGUCUGGUUUAGAGUACUUAAGACAUUCACAGAUUCAAAUGUUGAAUUUUGAAAUAUCCCUGAUAUAUUUCUGUAUUGUAUUACCAAAAAAAAAAAAAAAAAAGAAGUUAGACAGGAGUUUGGAACCAGAGAACAGCCUGUUGGGGGAGUGGGGACUACAGCAGGGCUACCCAGGCCCCUCCUCCUCCCUGUCCCUUCGGCUCCCACCCUCUGCCAGGCUUACCUGUAAAUCGGGCCAUACUUCUGGAAAUUCUGGACAUGGUGAAGGUGGACUUUGUGUGUGCCCGUCUCCCUCCAGAAAUGGUACAGGUUUAGCCAGCCAUUGUCACCAGGAGAGGGGAUCUCAUUGAAGGGGCGAGGACUGCGGGUGGAGAUGCCAGCUCCCUCGCCAGUGGGCACCCUGAGACGCCCCAGCCCCUCCCUGGGGGCACUCAGAAAGGUCUGGCAGCCUUUGACCAGGACUGAGCGUGGGGGAAGACCCUUGGCCAGCAUGCUGUCCCCACAGCUGUGACUGUACCUGCUCCACUUCAGCGGGGACUGCUAGGAUGACUGUAGCCCUGGGCCACCAGGGCCAAGAUUAUAACUACCAGCUCAAGGCCAUACCAGAAGCUGAUAAAAUGUUCACGUCCUUCCUCCUGCUGCAGGCUCAAACCCGCAGACAGCUCCUCCCCUACUCGGUAUGAAGGUUCAGUCUGGAAUUUCUGCAGCGUGAGGUUCUCCAAAGGACAGGGAGACCCCUCUGUCUCUGCCCUCAGUGCCAGCCCUAGCAGACUCCUGAAAUAUCUGCCUGUGCUUUUGCCUGAGCUGGGGCCUCCCACUGGCCCCUGCAGCGGAGUCCAUGCCCUGGCAGCCAUUGGUCAAGACUGCAGACAACCUGUGUUUGGGGGAAAUGAGGGGCCCAAGAGAAGGUCAGAGCUAUCUUGCCAGCUUGGGCAACAUACGUCUUAGUUAUGGCCCCACUGUAUAGACACACAUCAUUGAACAACAGGGAUAAGUUCUGAGAAAUGCAUCCUUAGGCUAUUUUAUUUUAUUUUAUUUUAUUUUAUUUUAUUUUAUUUUAAGAGAGUUUCAUUCUUGUUGCCCAGGCUGGAGCGCAAUGGCACAGUUUCACCUUGGAACCCUAAUCCUCGUCGUCUCUCCCCAGUUGACCCAGAUUUGGGGCUGUAAUUCAGUACAGCUGACUCAGAGGGGCUCUGGGUCCCUUGAGCUGAGGUCUGUGGUCAGGCUCCACUCUGGACACACUCUAAGACCUUGGCAAAUCUGGUUGCCAUGGAACUCAGGAUGUCAGCUCUUCCCUGUCCACACACUUGAUCUGUGCUGCUUUCCCCUCAGAGCUGCUUCCAUACCCCCUCCCAUCAUAUCAUAUCCCCAGACCCAUCCUUCCAGCCCAGGUCAGCCCCCACACCCACCCCCCAUCACCCUGCACCUACCACUUUCCCAAACAACAAGGGUCAGUCACCUGUAGAGUUUUCAAGUCAUUUCAACAAAAUUACAGCCCACUUGGUAAAAAUGUGUAGGUCAGAAAACAUACAUGUGCCAUGUAGAGCAUUUCAUGACAGCAAUCUACACUAUACCUUAUACUUAUCAUUGGAAGGUACAACUUCUUGCUUUUUUUCCCCAAAAUCUUAUUUUCUGGCAAAUAAGGCAUUUAAAACACACAUCUAAGAGACAGAAAAUAGACUGGUGGUUGCUUAGAGCUAGGGGGAUAGAGGAAUUAGAGGAUGGGACAUAAAGUGUGUAGGGAUUCUUAGGAUGAUGAAAAUGAAAAUAUUCUAAAGUAUAUUGUGGUAAUUAUUGAACAACUCUCUGAUACACUAAAAGCCAUUGAAUUGCAUACUUUAAAUGGGUGAAUUGUAUGGUGUGUGAAUUAUAUCUCAAUAGAGCUGUUACCAAACACACACACACACACACACACACGAGUGACAUCCUCCUGGCCUCUUCUGUUGUAUGUGUCAGCCCAUAGAUCACCCACAAUGGCAAAAGUUGUCCUUACACAGCCACUUGACCCCAGACUCCAAUACUGUUGAACCACUUUCAACAAAUUUAGAGCAACAGUUUUUAGAAGAAAAAAAAAAAGUACUUAUCAAGAGUGGUUGUUGCUCUUCCCGCUGGAGUGACCACUACCUCAUCAGUCAUGAACCUUCUGAUAAAGAGAGUAUGGAGAAAGCCUGUUUUGCCUCACUGAUGACCUUGAGCCUGGAAUGACAUCAGCCAAGGAAGGCAGUGUCUCACGAGCAGCGGCAGGGUGAUGAGCUUCCACAAAGAAAAGCAGUCUUCCAAGGACUAGUUUUUCCUCCAAGGGUCUCAGCACUGAGGUGACAUUUAUAACUUUCUGACUUAAAGUCAAUCCCAUUGUUCUACGCAGCCCCACAUUCCUCCCUCAGAAGGAGCCCUAAUCGAUGUGGCAUGGAAGAACUUGUGGUCCUCUUGGCAGCCACCCCAACUUCCGUUCAGGCCUCCGCACCUCCCCCAGUGUUGUGGGGCACUGACCGCCUCCCCAGAAGUGGCCCGGGCUGGAGGUUAUUGCCUCAUCCUCUCCAAUGGCCAUGGUCACAUCACAGCAUAGGCCAGCGAUUCAGUUUGGGCCAAUGAAACACAGGGAAAGGUUUGCUGUGGCUUCUGGGAGAAUAGCUCCCUCACUUCUCUGAAAGAGCUUCCAGAAACACAUCACUCACUCCAAACAAGGCUGAAUGUAUUAGCUGUUUACUGCUGCUUAACAAAUUAUCCCAAAAUUUAGUGGCUUAAAACAAUAAAUGUUUAUUAUCUCACAGCUUCCGAGGGUGCAGCACCCAGGAGCAGCUUUUCUGGGUGACUGGGUGGCUGGGUGGCUGGGUGACUGGGUGGCUGGGUGGCUGAGUGGCUCAUGCUCAGGGUUUCUCACAAGCGGCUGCCAUCCCUGAAGCUUGACCAGGGUGUAGGAUCAGCUUCCAAGCUCAGUGGAUUAAACUGGCCCUGCUUCAAAACUUUUCAGUGGCUGUUUCAGGACUAUUGAGAAGAUUAAUGAAUGAUACAUACAUUUCAAAAUAUAUAUAUUACACAUAUACAUGUGUAUAUUACAUAAUUUUUCCCUCCCUCUCUCUGUUCUUGCCAGUGCCCAAACUGAAAUUUUCACCCUCUCAAAAGUGAUGGGAAGUUAGGGUCCAACCCUCACCAAGCCCCUUACGAUGGGCAAGUGAAUCCUCUGCUAGGUGAGGUUAGCCUAGUGCUCGGCUAUGCCAAAGUCCUUCUUGGCUCUCUCAAGACAGGCCCAUACUUAUAGUGCUUUCUCCUCCCACUCCUGCCUCCCACAUUCUGUAACUAUCCUAUCAUUCUCAGAGUAGAGGGUGUACACAUUUAGACCCAUCUAAACGUUGCCUAGGACGGGGAACAUGAUUUUAUUCAUUGCAGGCAGCUUGGAUGGAUAAACAGAAAAUCCAAAUCACAGACUUAAAGAAGAUAGAAGUGUAUUCUCUCUCCCAUAAAGGAUGUCCAAGGCUGGGCAGUCCAGGGUGAGUGUGUCAGUCCCAGCAAAAUGCCAGGCUCCAUCUUCCUGCUUCACCACGAAGACAUUUGGUUGGCAUUUCUAAGGCCACCCGAUGGUCCAAGCUGCUGCUGGAGCAUUAACCGUGUUGCUGGCCAGAAGGCGGAAGAACUCAAGAAGACCAAAAGGGGCCCUCCCUGAAGAGCCAGCUUCAUUUAAGCCCCUUCCUCAAAGUCCCACACGAGUCCAACCAUAUCUGAUUGGUGGGAACUUAACCACAUUGAGGCAGGAGAAUAGGGAAUUAGGGCAACCAAGGAUUAAGGUAGGAACAAAAGAAGAGCAGGUGCAGCCAGUUCACAUAAGCAAAAGGCACAGCAGGUACAGCCAAUUCUAGGCAGGAUUAGGCAACAUACAGGCCACAUCUUCACUUCUGUGAUAACCACAGGCCAAGUCGCCACUUAAGCCUCUAAUUGGUCACGGAUCAAUCCUUCAUUGGAUGUAACUGAUUGGAGGCCUCUGGAGGGCACCGGGGGUGUUCAUGUUCUUUAGCUUAAUAAAAUCUCUAAUUGAAGGGGCUCCUGAGCCACUUGCUCAAGCCCACUCUUGCUCUGUGAAUUGUACUUGCACAUCUUCAAUAAAUCUGUGCCUUCAUUACUCCAUUCUUUCGUUGCUUUGUCUUUUGUUGCUUUGUGCGUUUUGUUCAAUUCUUUAACAUGCCAAGAACCUGGACAACUCAGUCAAGACCUUCCAUUCAGUAACCACAUGACUGUACCUAGGUACAGGGAGGUAGGUACAGGGAGGCUGGACAAUGUCGUUUUGCUCUGGAUGGCAAUACAUCCGCUAGCAGAGGUGCUGGCCAGACCAUAGACAUAAUAAUACAGUUUUGUAUCAUGAAACAAGCAACGGUUUUGGAGCCAC